UUCCCGCCUGGUGCCAUCACCCCCUCCCUCCUUCCCCCUCUAUUCCUCCCAUCACACACACAGAAAUGGUCUCAACAGCGUGGGGCCAACGCAGAAGCGACCCGGCCCCCCCCGUUGGUAAGCGGUACCGUUGCUUUCGCUGCCUUCUACCGCCCAGGUUUCCCGUCUCGCGUGCCUGUGGUGUUGGGGCUUCUUAUUGGCAGAACUGUGCCCGGGAGGUACAGACAGCUUUUGCACUGGAACCUCAUUGGUGCCCACACGGAGGGGAGGAAGGGCUGCUAGCAGUACGCAUCAAUUACAGCUGUACGGGGGUGGACGCAAGACUUUACAGGUGUGCAUUGCCACAAAAAUUUUGUCGCGAUUUUGUUGCUACUUUAAACAGUAAGCCUUGUCAGUUCCCUUGCCCUGUGACUGCAGGCACUGUCAUUGUGGUAGGUGGUUUUAAAUGCUAGCCAUCCUGAACAUGUAAAGGUGUUUUGCAUCAUGCUUGCAUCAUGCUUGCAUCGUGUACCCUUUACCCACAAAGCCGAAAUGUUGCUCUUGGCAGUGAUGGCAGCUUUCCAAGUUGCCAUAGCUUUUCUCCACAGUGAGGUGGAUACCUCCUUCAAAAUAGUAUACAACAGUCUACUCAAGGCAGUCUGCAGAUGACCCCCACCACUUUUGUUUUUUGCUAGAUGCAUGUCGCACACUUGUGCAAUGCUGCAGAUCUUGCGGGCAACAAACUGCACAACCGUGAGGCACCCGUACAUUUUUGUACAAGAAAAGGUACCAAAAACUCGCGUAGCGAAUGAUGAGCUGGUGCCGCGUGAAGUGUGGGGUAACUCUGUCUACAAACAUGAACUAUGUGAUGGAUGGAUGGGUUACAUAUAUGUCAGGCUCCCUAAUUUGGAACAUGUGUCUGCAUGGCAAUGCAGUAUACAUUUGUAAUUGUGGCGAUAUACCUGAAGGUUCGGCAUACGUAUAAGCACCUGAAAAAAACACUAAGCAGGUACCCACUAAUGAAGUUCCAGUGCAUCAGCCCGUGUGUAUGGAAGGAGUUGUAGGGAAUGGUAGUGCAGUUGAGAGGUAGUCGCUGUGAGGCCUUCGUGGCACAAAAUGUGAGGCAGUCAGCGGCGAUGCUGGACAGAACAUCUCGUGCUCCUCCUAAGGUCUGGUAAGCUGGUGUGUAGGGUGCGGCUGUGAAUUUGUUCUUUAUGAUAUAGUGCUAGCUGUAUAUUUGAGCUCUGUAGCACUAAAUGUGUGUUUCAGAACCAUGCAGAAGGAUAGCAAAGCUGAAUUGGAUUUCAGAACCGUACAAAAGGGUAGACUGAAUCACUGCAUAAUUAUGUAGCUAUACAUUGCAUUCCUGUGCUGGCACGAACAGUGUGCCAUUUGGGUCAGCUGGACGUACUUGCAACAAUCUUUUGAAGGUUUGGGUACUCGCUGCACUUAAGCUAUGACCAGAAUGCUUGAUUCAUUGCAAGUAGUACAACUAUAGAUCAUCGGGACGCAAAAAUUUUAUACUUAAUUGAUAUGUUCUUUAAGGAGUGGUGUUUGAGCAGCUCAUUGGCAAUGAAGUCUAGUGUCCUUUUUUUGCUAGUAGCACUGUUCGUGUGCAGUGCUUUUGCUGCCAGGGCAUUUUCUGCUAGCCAGUUUUCCUGCUGUUAUCGCUAGUUUUCCGCCAGCUGAUAGCAGCACGUGUGAUGCAACUGUUGUCCCUAAUUUGGCUAAUCACUUCACUCCGACAGAUUAUUGCCUGUUGGCUUUGAAUGUUCCUGUGACCGCUUUGCAACUCUGCUCACAUAGCAGGCUGCAGAAUGUCACUGUAACUAGGGUUUUCGAUUAGUUUCCAAACCCUGCACCUGUUCUUGACUUUCAUUUGACAUGCCAGAUUUCAGCUACUUGAAGUAAAGCUAAGUAAGGUUUUACAGAAUCGUUAUUUCUACGCGGCUCCGUUGUUCGAUGAUAGCUUUGAUUGUGGCCUUAAGUUGUAAAAUCCGAGUUCCAUUUGUAGGUGGCUCCGUUCGAUGAUAGCUUGUAGUUUGACUUCAAAUUGUAAUAUCUGAGUUCCACAUGUUACUUUUGUUGUUAAGAUAACUUUGUAGCAGUAAAACUGCUCUAUGGUGGCAUGACACUAUUCCAUGUACUUUUGUAUCUAAAACACUUAAGACGAUGCCAAGUGUUGGUGCAUAGAUUUGUUUCUUAAGUGGAAAGAUUGGUAUCAGCUAUUUGACCACAUCCUUCUGUGGAGGCUUCCUUGAUGUAGGUUUUUGCUCAACUAUAAUAGCAGCAUAUCUUGAUCCUUUUGUACAGAGGCACUAGGGAUUUUGGCCGAGUGUCUUUUAAUGGACCUACUUGGGCUGUCUCGACCUGUUUUGUCUUGGCCAUCUUUACGGUAUGUGUUAUCGACAGCAUGAUUACUGUUUGCGUAACACAUUGGGGGAUUGUGUACUCAAUGGGGCAAGCAGAUUUCUACGAAUGCAAAAAUACUUGUGUGUAAUGCUCUGGGUUCAGAUUAAUGAAACCAAGGUCCUGAAAACUAACCUAGAGCACUACACUGCGGCAACGCUAGGUUGUACUGCCCUGGAAUGACAAAUUUUAAACCACAUCCAUUAGUGAAGCUUUGGCUUUGGUUGAACCGUUAUGACUUCGGACUUAGGCUCUGAAUGGUAGCAGUGCAAGUGCUGCGAGGCCCAAUUUGUGUAGGCCGCAUACUAGUGCAGGUCGCUCAGUGCUUGUGGAUUCUUUUCAGCAGAUGGUAGCGUAGACAGAUGUUAGGGUAGGUCCUUUAGAGCAGUAAUGGAGCAGAUUGAAGCAAGUUCCUCAGCUUUUGUCUUCUACUUGGGGUCUUUAGCCUAUUUGCAGGUGAAACGGGGUUCUCCAUUGUCAGUUCGUCCAUUAGUUGAGGUACAGGUGCGCUGUGCUAAGCUUUGCACUUAGUUUGCAGCAUGCAGCUUGGAAAAUAGGAAGAAAAAGGCACUCGCUACUCGGCCCAAUGGACCAUCCAGGUCCUCGUUUGGGCCAGCCCCAGCAAAGCCAGGCUUUCACAGCACAAGCGCGUGUGGAAGACGAGCGGUCAAUUGGAUGAAAGCAGCCGUCGAGACCUCGGAUGAUGCUCUCCUUACUGCUUGCGGGAGCUGUUUCUCUUGGAAGUUCAGCGGCCCACAGUGGCGGCUGCCUCGAUCCCAGCGCCGGUGUGUCCCCAGACCUCGGCGCUGUGAGCUUGCGAUGUUUGAACCCGCAAUAAAGCGCCCGUUCUUUGCAACAAA
Long non-coding RNA from Dermacentor andersoni, 3248 nucleotides. RefSeq lists it as uncharacterized. The record is from RefSeq and is a predicted model, not a curated record. NCBI's taxonomy places the organism in Eukaryota, Metazoa, Arthropoda, Arachnida, Ixodida, Ixodidae.